Molecule: ribosomal RNA, 473 nt
Filed under: uncultured bacterium
Lineage: Bacteria
Description: bacterial SSU rRNA
Rfam family: Bacterial small subunit ribosomal RNA
Source: RNAcentral
GCUCGCGUCGUGAGAUGCUGGGUUAAGUCCCGCAACGAGCGCAACCCUUAAGCUUAGUUGCCAGCAUUAAGUUGGGCACUCUAAGUUGACUGCCGGUGACAAACCGGAGGAAGGGGGGGAUGACGUCAAAUCAUCAUGCCCCUUAUGAUUUGGGCUACACACGUGCUACAAUGGACAAUACAAAGGGCAGGUAAACCGCGAGGUCAUGCAAAUCCCAUAAAGUUGUUCUCAGUUCGGAUUGUAGUCUGCAACUAGACUACAUGAAGCCGGAAUCGCUAGUAAUCGUAGAUCAGCAUGAUACGGUGAAUACGUUCCCGGGUCUUGUACACACCGCCCGUCACACCACGAGAGUUUGUAACACCCGAAGCCGGUGGAGUAACCAUUUAUGGAGCUAGCCGUCGAAGGUGGGACAAAUGAUUGGGGUGAAGUCGUAACAAGGUAGCCGUAUCGGAAGGUGCGGCCGGAUCACCUCU